Molecule: long non-coding RNA, 284 nt
Filed under: Gallus gallus (chicken)
Lineage: Eukaryota; Metazoa; Chordata; Aves; Galliformes; Phasianidae
Description: long non-coding RNA NONGGAT011952
Source: RNAcentral
CUUUGCUGACCUUGUCUGUCUCCAGUUACUUUGUUCAUAACUUUGCUGCUGUUACUAGGAGAAAAAUUCUUAGGAGUCCCAGGAUGUGCAGGGAGAGCCUUGAGAGGCUCAAAAUGAACACUUUGCUGUGGUCCUCACAACAAGAGAAGAAACACACUCAUGCUUAAUUUACCUGCUGAUGAAGCCUUGUCACAGGCAGAGGGAUUAAAAAUAAAUGCGGUACCAAAACUGGGGAAAUUGGUGCAUGUUUGCCAGGACAAGAUGACAUUUGCAUGGUAGCUCAU